RNAcentral lists this ribosomal RNA (254 nucleotides) under uncultured bacterium. RNAcentral describes it as "partial 16S ribosomal RNA". It matches the Rfam family "Bacterial small subunit ribosomal RNA", at positions 524 to 776 of the family's 1533-position model. The record is from RNAcentral.
UACGUAGGGUGCAAGCGUUGUCCGGAAUUAUUGGGCGUAAAGAGCUCGUAGGCGGUCUGUCGCGUCUGCUGUGAAAACUCAGGGCUUAACCCUGAGCUUGCAGUGGGUACGGGCAGACUAGAGUGCGGUAGGGGAGACUGGAAUUCCUGGUGUAGCGGUGAAAUGCGCAGAUAUCAAGAGGAACACCGGUGGCGAAGGCGGAUCUCUGGGCCGAUACUGACGCUGGAGGAGCGAAAGCGUAGGGAGCGAACAGG